Mastomys coucha (southern multimammate mouse) is the source of this 133-nucleotide small nucleolar RNA. RefSeq annotates it as small nucleolar RNA SNORA17. NCBI's taxonomy places the organism in Eukaryota, Metazoa, Chordata, Mammalia, Rodentia, Muridae. The transcript has a single exon. The record is from RefSeq and is a predicted model, not a curated record.
GUUGCUGAGAGGAGGCAUUGCAGGUGUGUCUCCUGUGUGACAUGUGAAUCAAAAUGUGGUAGAGAGAAGAAAGGCUAUGUGUAUGCUCAGUGUUCUGAUCUAUGGACAUCUGAAUGAUCAGUAGCCUAGCAUU